AGUUACUGCCACCCUCUCCCAGGUCUAGAGAGGGGUACCCACGGUGGAGGGAGGUGGGAGGCCGAGACGGCCCCGGGGGUCGGCGGAGACCCAGCGGGAGCAGGGGGAAAUCGGAAGAGCUGGGGGCAUGGAGCGGGCGAGUUUGGAGCGGAAUGAGCCGGGAGCCCUACGUUGUGGAAGGAAGACAACAGUAUAGGACCAUCAGCAGGACCGGACAGAGAGGGGCACACCAGGCUGGCCUUGAACUCAGAAAUCCGCCUGCCUCUGACUCCCGAGUGCUGAGAUUAAAGGUGUGCACCACCACACCCGACAAGGAAGCCUGUUUUAAGAAGUGAUUCCAUGGAGGAGUUCUGCGGCGGCUCAGGGCUUGACUAAACAGUGGACCUCAGACAAGAGAGGCUAAACCAGGCUGCAGGUGACAGGAAGAAUUGAAUAAACUGAAAGCAAAGGGCAGCCUUCUAAUUACGCUUCGUGGCUAUGUGGACAACCUGGAGAAGUCUGGAAACCUUUCCUCCUCCAUUUUACUACUUGAGGGAGCAGUGGGUGGGAUACUAGAAGCCAGAAGCCCGAAGCCAGCAGUAGAGCUCUGACUGGCUUGUAUGCCUAGAAAGGAAGGGCUCUUCUUUCGCCUCACGGGCACAAAUGGGACCCACGAGCGCCGAUUUCAGACUAUUCUGAUCCCUUCAAAAAGAAAGUUAGGAGUCCAGGCUACUGUGAGUGAAUUUGAUUCUAAUUGUUUCAGAGAAUAUGGAAUAAAAUAUCUCAUUUGCAGUUGUUUA
RNAcentral lists this long non-coding RNA (779 nucleotides) under Mus musculus (house mouse). Its description in RNAcentral is "predicted gene 20544". Lineage: Eukaryota; Metazoa; Chordata; Mammalia; Rodentia; Muridae. The record is from RNAcentral.